ACACACACAGGCAGACACUCACUGACAGACACACACACAGACACUCUCUGACAUACAUACACUCACUCACUGACAAACACACAAACACAUACACAGGCAGACACACACAUACUGACAGUCAAACACUCACACACUAACUGACAGACACACACACAGGCAGACACUUACUGACAUACAUACACUCACUGACAGUCAAACACUCA
Non-coding RNA from Pelobates cultripes (western spadefoot toad), 203 nucleotides. The record is from the annotation of a GenBank genome assembly. Lineage: Eukaryota; Metazoa; Chordata; Amphibia; Anura; Pelobatidae.